CAGGACUGGGGACGGAUGUGGACUGACCUGACCAGCCGGACCUCAUGCUGGGAGCUAUCAUUCCAUGAAUGUGAUCAAAGAUGGGGGUUUGGGUAACCUGACUCACAUACUCCCCUUACUUUUUUUUUUUUUAGAGGUUCUAUUUAUUUAUUCAUGAGAGACAGAGAAAGAGAGAGAGAGAGAGAGAGAGAGAGAGAGGCAGAGACACAGGCAGAGGGAGAAGCAGGCUCCAUGCAGGGAACCCGAUGUGGGACUGGAUCUCGGGUCUCCAGGAUCAGGCCUCAGGCCGAAGGCAGCGCUAAACUGCUGAGCACCCCCGGGGCUGCCCGCGCACUCCCCUUUCGUCUCUCCCAGAAUGAAUUCCUCUACCAAAAUGUGGGAAUGACAAGUUCCACCUCCCACUGGAUCAUGGGAACAGUGGGUGUCUCACACUGCUCUACUGCAUCUGCCCAAACUGGCAAAGUGGCUGUCCCCGAAAGUGCCAAGGCUGUCCGGUCUCCCAGCAAACGCCUCGGACUGAUGCGGAGCCAUUUAUAGCAAGAAGUGGUGAGAGGUAACUUAUUCUGCUGUGGAAGGAGCCAGAGCCCAGGGCUCCUCCCAGGGAGAGCUUCACACUCCACAACAGGGUGGGGAGCUACUUUCCCACGCCCCUUCGCUCGCCUGCUGAAGCCGCACGCGAGCGCCAGGCUCCCAGCGCACACUGAGUCAGCACCCUGGAGAGCUGCCCCGCCCCUCCCUGACCAGUGAGGUCAGCACAGAUGCUGCACCCCCCCCCCCCCCAGGAGGAGUGGCAACUGCAGCCACUGGGCAAAGCUCCCAAGAGCUGAGUUAAAGGAACACCCCUGAAGGCUGUGGAAAGCUCCAGAACCCAAGAAGCGCAGGGAACAGGAUUCCAAAGAGCAUGUUUGCCGACAAAAUCUCAUCGUAGGGGACGCCUGGGGGGCUCAGAUUGGGUUUUCUGCGGUUUGAGUGUUGAGCAGUUGAGCGUCUGCCUUCAGCUCGGGGCAUGAUCCCAGGUCCUGGGUUAGAGUUCCAGGCCGGGCCUCCUGCGAGGACACCGCUUCUCCCUCCCUCUGCCUGUGUCUCU
Molecule: long non-coding RNA, 1087 nt
Filed under: Canis lupus familiaris (dog)
Lineage: Eukaryota; Metazoa; Chordata; Mammalia; Carnivora; Canidae
Description: lncRNA (ENSCAFG00000052458.1)
Source: RNAcentral